RNAcentral lists this ribosomal RNA (460 nucleotides) under uncultured bacterium. Its description in RNAcentral is "partial 16S ribosomal RNA". It matches the Rfam family "Bacterial small subunit ribosomal RNA", at positions 338 to 795 of the family's 1533-position model. The record is from RNAcentral.
CCUACGGGAGGCAACAGUGAGGAAUAUUGGUCAAUGGACGCGAGUCUGAACCAGCAAAGUAGCGUGAAGGAUGACUGCUCUCUGGGUUGUAAACUUCUUUUAUAUGGGCAUAAAAUGUUCCACGUGUGGGCUUUUGUAUGUACCAUAUGAAUAUGGCUCGGCUAACUCCGUGCCAGCAGCCGCGGUCAUUAGGCGGAUUCGAGCGUUAUCCGGAUUUCUUGGGGUUAAAGGGAGCGUAGGUGUAUGGUUAAGUCAGUUGUGAAAGUUUGCGGCUCAACCGUAAAAUUGCAGUUGAAACUGGCAGUCUUGAGGACAGUAGAGGUGGGCGGAAUUCGUGGUGUAGCGGUGAAAUGCUGAGAUAUCACGAAGAACUCCGAUUGCGAAGGCAGCUCAGUGGACUGCAACUGACACUGAGGCUCGAAAGUGGGGGUAUCAAACAGGAUUAGAAACCCUUGUAGUC